UACAGAGGUCUCAAGCGUUGUUCGGAUUCAUUGGGCGUAAAGGGUGCGUAGGCGGCGCGGUAAGUCGGGUGUGAAAUUUCGAGGCUUAACUUCGAAACUGCAUUCGAUACUGCCGUGCUUGAGGACUGGAGAGGAGAGUGGAAUUCCUGGUGUAGCGGUGAAAUGCGCAGAUAUCGGGAAGAACACCCGUGGCGAAGGCGGCUCUCUGGGACGGUACUGACGCUGAGACGCGAAAGCGUGGGGAGCGAACAGGA
Molecule: ribosomal RNA, 254 nt
Filed under: uncultured bacterium
Lineage: Bacteria
Description: partial 16S ribosomal RNA
Rfam family: Bacterial small subunit ribosomal RNA
Source: RNAcentral